UGCAACGCGAAAACCUUACCUACCCUUGACAUGUCCGGAAUCCUGCAGAGAGUGCGGGAGUGCCGAAAGGGAAUCGGAACACAGGUGCUGCAUGGCUGUCGUCAGCUCGUGUCGUGAGAUGUUGGGUUAAGUCCCGCAACGAGCGCAACCCUUAUCAUUAGUUGCUACGCAAGGGCACUCUAAUGAGACUGCCGGUGGCAAACCGGAGGAAGGUGGGGAUGACGUCAAGUCCUCAUGGCCCUUAUGGGUAGGGCUUCACACGUCAUACAAUGGUCGGUACAGAGGGUUGCCAAGCCGCGAGGUGGAGCCAAUCCCAGAAAGCCGAUCGUAGUCCGGAUUGUUCUCUGCAACUCGAGAGCAUGAAGUCGGAAUCGCUAGUAAUCGCGGAUCAGCAUGUCGCGGUGAAUACGUUCCCGGGUCUU
Molecule: ribosomal RNA, 422 nt
Filed under: uncultured Thiobacillus sp.
Lineage: Bacteria; Pseudomonadati; Pseudomonadota; Betaproteobacteria; Nitrosomonadales; Thiobacillaceae
Description: bacterial SSU rRNA
Rfam family: Bacterial small subunit ribosomal RNA
Source: RNAcentral